UCACCAUCUAUAAACAACACUCAGGGUACGUUUUAUAAGCCAUAUAAAAUACCCAAAUCAAAGUACAGUAUUUUUCUUUCCCAACAGUAUUCCAAAUUUAAUCAAUUCCGCUGAUAAAUUCCCAAAUUAUGGCCAAGCAAUAUUGAAGGUCCCUUCUGUAUUUGCGACUCUACGCUCAUAAUAGCUCCAUGCCGUGCUCGGAGCA
This 205-nucleotide long non-coding RNA is filed under the name Elaeis guineensis (African oil palm). RNAcentral describes it as "long non-coding RNA (EGUI_LNC025083)". The record is from RNAcentral. Lineage: Eukaryota; Viridiplantae; Streptophyta; Magnoliopsida; Arecales; Arecaceae.